AUGCGCAGAGCGAGCGGUGGGCGGGGCGGAGCUGCGGGGCUGCGGGUCGGUGUGAGGGGGAGGGGCGGGUGGUGCCAUGAAGGGAGGAGGGGCCGGGCUGAACGGGCCGGGCUGAACGGGACGGGCACGGAACCAAUAAUGCUGCGGCACCGCCCCCCCCCCCGGCUGUGUAGCACAAACUGCUCCCGUGCCCCGCAGCUCCACCUUUGUGCCCUGCAGCACCUAGCCCAUAUCCCCACAUAUCCCCCAUAUCUCCCUAUAUCUCCCCAUAUCUCCCCAUAUCCCCCCAUAUACCCCCCGUGUCCCCCCGUGUCCCCCCAUAUCCCCCCCCAUAGGACCCCUGUGACCCCAUAUCCCCCAUUAUCCCCUAUAUCUAUAUCCCCCAUAUUCUCCUCCGUGUCCCCAUAUCCUCUGUGUCCCCAUAUCCACCUCCCGUGUCCCCUUGUCCCCCCAUAUCCCCCCAUAUCUUCUCCGUGUCCUCAUAUCCCCCCUUAUCCCCCUAUAUCCUAUAUCCCCCCAUAUCUCCUCCGUCUCCCCAUAUUCCCCUCUGUGUCCCCCUCUGUGUCCCCAUAUCCCUCCAUAUCCCCCCAGUGUCCCCAUAUCCCCCCCGUGUCCCCUUGUUCCCCCAUAUCUCCUCCGUGUCCCCAUAUCCCCGCCCAGUGUCCCCUUGUCCCCCCACAUCCUCCCAUAUCUCCUCCGUGUCCUCAUAUCUCCCCAUAUCCCCCUAUCCCCCAUAUCCCCCCGUGUCCCCAUAUCUCAUCUGUGUCCGCGAUCCCCCCGUGUCCCCAUAUUCCACCAUAUUCCCUCCGUGUCCCCAUAUCCCCCGGUGUCCCCAUAUCCCCCUCCCUGUGUCAUAUCCACCAUUACCUUCGAUGUCCCCAUAUCCCCCCCGUGUCCCUAUAUCCCUCCAUAUCUCACCAUAUCCCCCUCCCCGUGUCCCCAUAUCCCCCGUGCCCCCAUUAUAUCCCCUAUUACCCCCAUUAUAUCCCCAUCACACACUGGACGCCGCCUGAGGUUUGCGGCGGAUUCUCCCGCUGUCCCGGCUCUGGGCGCAGCGUUACGGUCACAAACUCAGCCCCCCCCUCCGCUCCGAACGGACCCUCCGGCGAUAACGGAGCUGGUUCGGACCGUGGGUGUCGGCAAAGAACUCGCAGCGUCCGCUGCUCACAAAGGGAACACGGAGAAGCGCUGCCUCGCGGCGGGGUUUUCAAUGCAGGGACGGACGGAGCGGCCCAACUCCGGGUUGUGCUGCAGGGAUCGAAGUUCGGGGCGAACGCGAACGGAGCGAGAGUGAGAACCGCUGUUACGGUGCGCGAUGAACCGGCUGCAUCCGCUCCUCCGUGA
Molecule: long non-coding RNA, 1344 nt
Filed under: Coturnix japonica (Japanese quail)
Lineage: Eukaryota; Metazoa; Chordata; Aves; Galliformes; Phasianidae
Description: lncRNA (ENSCJPG00005019067.1)
Source: RNAcentral